Molecule: ribosomal RNA, 754 nt
Filed under: uncultured Chloroflexota bacterium
Lineage: Bacteria; Bacillati; Chloroflexota
Description: bacterial SSU rRNA
Rfam family: Bacterial small subunit ribosomal RNA
Source: RNAcentral
CGGAUUUACUGGGCGUAAAGCGCGUGUAGGCGGCUGCUUAAGUCGGACGUGAAAGCUCCUGGCUCAACUAGGAGAGGCCGUUCGAAACUAGGUAGCUUGAGGAUGGUAGAGGAGAGUGGAAUUCCCGGUGUAGUGGUGAAAUGCGUAGAUAUCGGGAGGAACACCAGUGGCGAAGGCGGCUCUCUGGGCCAUUCCUGACGCUGAGAUGCGAAAGCUAGGGGAGAGAACGGGAUUAGAAACCCCGGUAUUCCUAGCCGUAAACGAUGUCAACUAGGUGUAGGAGGUCAUUGACCCCUCCUGUGCUGUAGCUAACGCGUUAAGUUGACCGCCUGGGGACUACGGCCGCAAGGCUAAAACUCAAAGGAAUUGACGGGGACCCGCACAAGCAGCGGAGCGUGUGGUUUAAUUCGAGGCUACGCGAAGAACCUUACCAGGGCUUGACAUAUGCGUGGUAGGAAAUCGAAAGAGGACCGACCCUUCGGGGAGCGCAUACAGGUGCUGCAUGGCUGUCGUCAGCUCGUGCCGCGAGGUGUUAGGUUAAGUCCUGUAACGAGCGCAACCCUCGUCGUUAGUUACAUGUGUCUAGCGAGACUGCCGGUGAUAAGCCGGAGGAAGGUGAGGAUGACGUCAAGUCAGCAUGGCCUUUAUGUCCUGGGCUACACACACGCUACAAUGGCCAGUACAAUGGGUAGCCAAACCGCGAGGUGGAGCCAAUCCCGUAAAAGCUGGUCUCAGUUCGGAUUGCAGUCUGCAA